UAAUAAAAAUCAACCCAAGCGUUGGUUUCCUUCCAUAGUUUCUGUAGGUAUUAUAAAGGACAUAAGGCAUCAGUCAACAGCGUUUGUUUUUAUUAAAGUUACCGUAACAUUUACGCUUAGUGGUCGUUAAUACGUUCAACGUGGGAGUUUGUUCAUUUAUAAAAACGAAAACCAUGGGUCUUUUCCAAGCAGUACAAUUUGUAUUUCUCAUCGUCUCCAUUACAUACCACACUGUAUUGGGGAUACCAUUCAGUAGAAGUCUUCACACAAGUUCAAGAGCGAUUUGCCCAUCGGAAGAUUUUGCCUUGAUUCCAGCAGAAAAAUGUAAUCAAUUCUACCUUUGCUCACAAGGAGAAUCAACCUUGCUGGAUUGUGAUGUUGGAGAAAACUUCAAUCCAAAUAUCUCUCUGUGUGAUGCAAAUUACGAAUGUGUCAAUGAGCCUGAACCAACGACUACGGAGCCUCCGACAACAACAACGACAGCAGCAACAACAUCUGCUCCCACUACCACCAUCCCAACUGUUACGCCGCCUUCUGAAGGAUUCCUGGCCGUUCUAUUGCCUAUGGAGCUCUGUCCACCCCAAGGAGUCGCUUAUCGCAUUCAUGGCCAGAACUGUCGACUUUUCUACUACUGUCGAGAUGGUUUCGAGCGAUUACAGUCGUGUUCAGCUUUUCGGAGAUUCGACGUGUUUACUGGGCAAUGUCUGCUCACCCACGAAGCAACGUGCUACCCCGGUACGGAACUUUUCGAUGACAGAGAUGUGGAAUAUGACGCAGAGGGAAAUGUGUUUGUCUAGCUUUUUUCAGUAAACUAGGAAUUCCGGUCCGACCAGAUUUCUUUUGACACUCCCAAAUAGUUUUAGAAUUAAGGCACUGUAUGAGCAAGAAUAGUGUGUCGAAUCCCAUUAUUUUCAAAUAUAGAUAUUAUCAAUAGUACUUUAAAACAUAAUGUGUGAUUUCAUAACAAUAAGAGAACGGUUGUCUAUAAUGUGAAAUGAUGAGAAUAUGCAAUGUUCAAUUAUUAUUUAGAAA
Molecule: long non-coding RNA, 1032 nt
Organism: Aedes aegypti (yellow fever mosquito)
Lineage: Eukaryota; Metazoa; Arthropoda; Insecta; Diptera; Culicidae
Exons: 2
Source: RefSeq, a predicted model, not a curated record